AUCUCCCUGUCGUUGCAUUCAUUCCAUUACCGGCCGCGGCGUGCAGGUUCUUAUGCGGCCGGUAAUGGAAUGAAUGCAACGACAGGAAGGG
Non-coding RNA from Plutella xylostella (diamondback moth), 91 nucleotides. The record is from Rfam. NCBI's taxonomy places the organism in Eukaryota, Metazoa, Arthropoda, Insecta, Lepidoptera, Plutellidae.